UACGUAGGGGGCGAGCGUUGUCCGAAGUUACUGGGCGUAAAGCGCGCGUAGGCGGCUCUUUAAGUCUGGCGUGAAAGGUUCAGGGCUCAACCCGAACAGUGCGCUGGAGACUGGAGAGCUUGAGGACGGGAGAGGGAAGCGGAAUUCCGGGUGUAGCGGUGAAAUGCGUAGAUAUCUGGAGGAACACCGGUGGCGAAGGCGGCAUCCUGGACCGGCACUGACGCUGAGACACGAAAGCGUGGGUAGCAAACAGG
This 254-nucleotide ribosomal RNA is filed under the name uncultured bacterium. RNAcentral describes it as "partial 16S ribosomal RNA". It matches the Rfam family "Bacterial small subunit ribosomal RNA", at positions 524 to 776 of the family's 1533-position model. The record is from RNAcentral.